Molecule: long non-coding RNA, 1368 nt
Organism: Cydia pomonella (codling moth)
Lineage: Eukaryota; Metazoa; Arthropoda; Insecta; Lepidoptera; Tortricidae
Exons: 2
Source: RefSeq, a predicted model, not a curated record
UUUUUAAUGGCGUAUAAUAUAAGACAGCGGUCGUAUAAUGACUGAGAAAUUUGGAUUUUUCUGUUUGAAUAAACAGCAAACUGGAGACAUUGAGAUUAAUUAUAAACUUAUUAUUUUAGGUGUUAUCAAGAAAAAAGGUCUUAACAGAUUUAUGAAUAGGCAUUGGCAGAAAAACAGGCGUCCGACCACGCAUAAUGGAGGAUUCUAUUUCUUUUAUCAUGUAGCUAUAUCUAUAUGACCUCUGCCGCCGACUUUUUCACCCGUUGGCGCCUGUGCCCAAAUCCUUCUAAGACCGUAGUCUGCUGUUUCCACCUGUCCAAUAAGCUGGCACAUAAGACCCUCAGAGUUAGAUUCCGGGGUACAGCCUUACAACAUAACUAUUCCCCAAAGUAUCUCGGUGUUACACUGGACAGAAGCCUGACAUACCGAUUGCACAUAGAGAAGCUAAAAAGUAAAAUAAGGACCAGGAUAUUUUAAUUACGAUACAUAAAUAACUACUAAAACAUGUUUUCUGCAAGAAAUUAGUUAUCUUAUUAUAUUAUAAAAUAUUUAUUAUCCAUCUGUGAUGUUUAUUUCUUGUGAAGAUAUCGAAGUUUCGCUGUGUAGCACUUAUCGAUAUAUAAUAUGAUCAAAAUCGACCCGUCCACAUCCCUAAAAAUCCACACAUACACAUUUUUACGCACAUAUACAAAGCAGUAUAACCACCAAAAUGGCUACGGCUUGAGUAUUCAAUUUUGUAUUGAGAAAAGGCAACUAUAUCCUGUCUUUAUUUGCCUCUCUAUCGCUCGAAUAUGCAAUACGCAUGCACUCUUCGUCAAAAUCGGUUUCAAACUUUUUCGACUGAGUACGCGCAAUAAACGCCUAGUAGUAGUAUUUAAAUGUUUACCGUAUUCAUUUAAAGCAUCGUAGGACAAUGCCGCUAUGUAAACUGUAAGGUGGGUCUUAAAUUAGUGUGAGUUAUUUUGGCACCGGACUCAACCUUCACGUUACAAUAUUUAAAGUAUUGCGCUGUCAUAGUAACGAAAAUGAUAAACACGUCAAUCGGAGUAAACAAGUAACUAAAUGAUGCAAACAAGAAAAUAUUGCAAAAUAGGUACAUAUAUAUGUACCGAUAAUUAUUUUGUGUUAAAAAUAUGAGGCAAAUUAUACUGCCCGAUUAUACGGACUACAUAUUAAAAACGAUUAUCUUGGAAACAGUCAAUAGAUGUCGAACCACCAGCAAAGUUUUUGAAGAGGUGUACCUAGUUCCUGGUACCAACUGGAAACUGAAACUAAUAAUCUACACUCAAGAAAAUGAAAUAUAGUCACAGAAAACUUUAAUGUUUUAUUUUAUUAAAGAAAAACGUUAAAAAAAUGUGUAAACAGAAA